UUUAGAGACCAGAGUACUUUAUUAUAUAUUAUGCAAAAAGCAAUCACAGUCCAUUUUGUUUCCAGUUCUGAUUGACUAAGGAAUCAACAAAAAAUUAGAAUAAGACAGAGAUCUUCUGUGUACUAUGAAAGGACAGCGAACGCCUUGCUCUUUCCAGCCUACCUCCCAUGCCCCUAACGCUGGGGUCGAUCCCUUAGUCCCAUCCCCACGCUUCCUUUCUGUAACAAGGUAACUCCCCCUCGCAGCUCUCCCUCUCCCUAUUCAACCUCCAGCCUAUCCUAUCUGCCGCCCGUUCACAUGGCAGGUCUCUCGCCAAACCACUGCGAGGAAAUAAAAGUGCCUCGCGCCCUGAAACGCGGCUUUCCCCUCCUUAACAACACGCACGCAGUGGGAACGCCUUGUAACAGGGAUCCCGGCUCGACCGCUCUCCAGUAGGGCGAGGAGGGAACUGAGAGAAUGAGGGGACAGAGACGGGGGCCCAAAUACCCCCUCAGCGCCCGGCCCAUGCGGGAACGCGAGCUGCGGCGUCGCUCAGGGAACGCUCUUGGCCGUUGCAACCGCCGCGGCGGUCCUGACCACGCUCGCCUCCAUUUUACUCAGGAGACGAGAUCUCCCCUCGCCCGCCCCUGAGACCGGCCGGAGGCCCCGGGCCGAGCCAGGCCCAGCUCUCGCCCGGGCCCUCCCCAGCGCAGGCCUCUAGCGGCGCCGCACCGGGCCCGCGCGGCCCAGAGCCGGAAGCCGAGCGGCGCGUUGAGGGGGGAGCGAUGGCGGCCUCCCGUGACCCCCCCCGCCCCGGCCCCUCAAUGGCCACCCGGCCCGCGCCCCCUUCCCCUCACUCCCACUCCCCGGCUCCCACCUCCUGGUUGAAGGCGUUCACGGCCUCCAUGUUGGCGGCGGCGGCGGCGGCUGAUGCGGGCGGGCGGGCGGGCGGGCGCCCGCGCGGGGGAGGGAAGGAAGGGGACGGGCGGAGGAGGAGCGGCAGCGCGGUCCCGCUCAGCGGCUGCGCGCGGACAUGGCCGUUCGGCGGCGGCGGGGCUCGCGCUCUCCGCUGUCCCCUCACGCCCUCGCUAACUCGCUCGGUUGCGGCGUCUCGCUGGCAGGGCCCCGGCACAGACCGUCUCUCCCAGCGGGAUGGCGGAGCCCACGCCGCGCACAGC
RNAcentral lists this long non-coding RNA (1157 nucleotides) under Strigops habroptila (Kakapo). RNAcentral's name for it is "lncRNA (ENSSHBG00005005395.1)". Lineage: Eukaryota; Metazoa; Chordata; Aves; Psittaciformes; Psittacidae. The record is from RNAcentral.